AUAUACUCCUUAUUUUCUCUUUUUGAGAAAAUAUUCUUUACGUACCUUCAUAGCCCAAUCCACUCCUCUCCUUCAACUUUAAUGUAACUAAAAUUUUCUCCUUUAUUUCCAUGAUCUACACAACCCAGUAUUUUAACCCAUGUUGGAUCUCUUUCUGAUCCAUAUGCUUAAUUCGUUGAGCAAAUCAACAACAAGAUGCAACAUCUUUGCAUCAUAUGUUGGACAUCUAAUGUUACAAAGAUCGUUGAAGGAUCUCCAAAUUUGUUUGCUCGAUACAACACAAAUCUGCAGAGCAUUUUGAGAUGUUUUCAAAGUACUUUGAGAUGUUUUCAAAGCAUGUUGAGAUGUAUUAGAUUAUUUUAUGAUUUAAUAGUUGUGAAUUGACGGGUCUCCUAGCAUGUAGAGGUGUUUUCAAAGCAUGUUGAGAUGUAUUAGAUUAUUUUGUGAUUUAAUAGUCUUGAUUUGAUAGAUCAAGAUAAAUUAACAAUUGUGAUUUCUUUGACUAAUUAUGAUGUACUUUUUUACAUCCAUUUUUUGUAUUUAUUUAAUGACCACAUAUAAUAUGGGUUUAUUUUA
Medicago truncatula (barrel medic) is the source of this 576-nucleotide long non-coding RNA. RefSeq lists it as uncharacterized. The record is from RefSeq and is a predicted model, not a curated record. The transcript has 2 exons. NCBI's taxonomy places the organism in Eukaryota, Viridiplantae, Streptophyta, Magnoliopsida, Fabales, Fabaceae.